UGGGGAAUAUUGCACAAUGGGCGCAAGCCUGAUGCAGCGACGCCGCGUGGGGGAUGACGGCCUUCGGGUUGUAAACUCCUUUCGCUAGGGACGAAGCUUUUUGUGACGGUACCUAGAUAAGAAGCACCGGCUAACUACGUGCCAGCAGCCGCGGUAAUACGUAGGGUGCGAGCGUUGUCCGGAAUUACUGGGCGUAAAGGGCUCGUAGGUGGUUUGUCGCGUCGUCUGUGAAAUUCCGGGGCUUAACUCCGGGCGUGCAGGCGAUACGGGCAUAACUUGAGUACUGUAGGGUAACUGGAAUUCCUGGUGUAGCGGUGAAAUGCGCAGAUAUCAGGAGGAACACCGAUGGCGAAGGCAGGUUACUGGGCAGUUACUGACGCUGAGGAGCGAAAGCAUGGGUAGCGAACAGG
This 410-nucleotide ribosomal RNA is filed under the name Bacillota bacterium. RNAcentral's name for it is "Firmicutes bacterium partial 16S ribosomal RNA". It matches the Rfam family "Bacterial small subunit ribosomal RNA", at positions 355 to 776 of the family's 1533-position model. Lineage: Bacteria; Bacillati; Bacillota. The record is from RNAcentral.